CUAGAUGCCGCCAGAGCUGCUGGUGCCAGAGAGGAACAGGUGUAACCUGUUAUCCACUCAUCAGGAGGAGCUUAAAGAAGCUGGGCAGUCAGCACUCCUGUGCCUGAGUGUUUUGCCAAUGUGGUUAGUUCUAAGUCCUGGCUCAUAUCCUGAGAAUCUACCAGACCAAGUACAAGCAACCCGAAAGAACCUUCUGAUCAGACUCAAGCUGACUGCCCCCGGGAUCUCAAACCUGUGGACCAGCCUCUAGCGAAUACUGCCCACCCUCCAACAAACCUCUCUGGCACCAACUUAAACAAGGCUCGCUCAAGGUGAAGCAUCUAGUGUAUGAAUUAUUGAAUCACCUCAAACUGACUCAGCCUCCAGGCUACUCCUCUAGAGGUUCCAUCGGGAAUCAGGCGGCGGCUCCAGAACUUCCCUUUCCAGGCUCUGAAUAAUCCCCUCUCAAGCUGGACUCCUCUCCACCUCCUUGUGACGACUCCAGAUCCGGUUCCAGACCCAUUAACCAAAUCUUCAAUAAACUUGUUAAACUUU
Molecule: long non-coding RNA, 534 nt
Organism: Girardinichthys multiradiatus
Lineage: Eukaryota; Metazoa; Chordata; Actinopteri; Cyprinodontiformes; Goodeidae
Exons: 3
Source: RefSeq, a predicted model, not a curated record